UGAGUGGGUGCUAGCAGAGAUAUCAAAGAU
This 30-nucleotide non-coding RNA is filed under the name Homo sapiens (human). The record is from RNAcentral. Lineage: Eukaryota; Metazoa; Chordata; Mammalia; Primates; Hominidae.